Molecule: ribosomal RNA, 274 nt
Filed under: uncultured bacterium
Lineage: Bacteria
Description: partial 16S ribosomal RNA
Rfam family: Bacterial small subunit ribosomal RNA
Source: RNAcentral
AUACGGAGGGUGCAAGCGUUAUCCGGAAUCAUUGGGUUUAAAGGGUCCGUAGGCGGACUAUUAAGUCAGAGGUGAAAUCCCACAGCUCAACUGUGGAACUGCCUUUGAUACUGGUAGUCUUGAGUUAUAUGGAAGUAGAUAGAAUGUGUAGUGUAGCGGUGAAAUGCAUAGAUAUUACACAGAAUACCGAUUGCGAAGGCAGUCUACUACGUAUAUACUGACGCUGAGGGACGAAAGCGUGGGGAGCGAACAGGAUUAGAAACCCCAGUAGUCC